Cottoperca gobio is the source of this 786-nucleotide long non-coding RNA. RefSeq lists it as uncharacterized. The record is from RefSeq and is a predicted model, not a curated record. The transcript is spliced from 5 exons. Lineage: Eukaryota; Metazoa; Chordata; Actinopteri; Perciformes; Bovichtidae.
UCUUCCUAAUGAAUGAAUGCAUGUUGAAGUUUGGAGUUCCCUUUUUGCUGGAAGAAGAUUGGAACUGCAGGGAAUACAUUGAGCAUUCACAUCCAGGCCUCUGCAGUCAAGUUCUUGGUUGAAAGGGUCGUGUAGGUGCGUCUGGCCAGCCCUGCAUUCAAGAGGUGCAACACCUCCGUAGAGGAGAGAUGAAGAUGCAGAGAAGAUGAAACAUCCCACAGGGAUCAUUGUGCUGAGGGAUUACGAGGGGCAGGAAGACGCUGACUGUUUUCCUCCUUCGUCCCUCUGCGAGGAAAAUCCUGGAGUAAAGCACCUGAGUGCUAAAGAAGACGUUUACCUGUAUGGAUCUGCUGGAUUAUUACCUGAGUGACACCUGGGCAGACUGCACGGGAUUAUUUCAGAUUAGUUGCUGUUACCUGAUGUUUCCUCCUGCGCUGCAGAGAAUGUGCCUACUACUCACAACACAUUCAGAGACUCAUUCAGACCACCUGGGAAAAAGCAAGAAAUACAUUCAAAUAUAUUGUAUAGUUAUUCAUUCCCAAUGCUGCUCACAGUAAUCACAGUCCACGGCUCUCAUGCCAACAGCACGGGGUCUCUCCCUCUCCUCUAGCGCGAUGACGUUGCCAAUUAGUAAGUGAACGUAUGACCACAUCUGCAGACUUUUUGCAACUUUUGGAGUUAGUGCUGCUAGCUACACCACACAGGGCACAGUGUAUUUUGUCUCCCAGGGCAUUGUGAUGUAAAUAAAGCCUUCAUUUUCCUGGGAGAUCGUACCUGGCGGCAGAC